This 1745-nucleotide ribosomal RNA is filed under the name Vibrio cholerae. Its description in RNAcentral is "partial 23S ribosomal RNA". It matches the Rfam family "Bacterial large subunit ribosomal RNA", at positions 1223 to 2925 of the family's 2925-position model. Lineage: Bacteria; Pseudomonadati; Pseudomonadota; Gammaproteobacteria; Vibrionales; Vibrionaceae. The record is from RNAcentral.
AUUGGGUAGGGGAGCGUUCUGUAAGCCGUUGAAGGUGAAUCGUAAGGUUUGCUGGAGGUAUCAGAAGUGCGAAUGCUGACAUGAGUAACGACAAAGGGGGUGAAAAACCUCCUCGCCGGAAGACCAAGGGUUCCUGUCCAACGUUAAUCGGGGCAGGGUGAGUCGACCCCUAAGGUGAGGCCGAAAGGCGUAAUCGAUGGGAAACGGGUUAAUAUUCCCGUACUUCUGACUAUUGCGAUGGGGGGACGGAGAAGGCUAGGUGGGCCAGGCGACGGUUGUCCUGGUUCAAGUGCGUAGGCUUGAGAGUUAGGUAAAUCCGGCUCUCUCUAAGGCUGAGACACGACGUCGAGCUGCUACGGCAGUGAAGUCAUUGAUGCCAUGCUUCCAGGAAAAGCCUCUAAGCUUCAGAUAGUCAGGAAUCGUACCCCAAACCGACACAGGUGGUCGGGUAGAGAAUACCAAGGCGCUUGAGAGAACUCGGGUGAAGGAACUAGGCAAAAUGGUACCGUAACUUCGGGAGAAGGUACGCUCUUGAUGGUGAAGUCCCUCGCGGAUGGAGCUGACGAGAGUCGCAGAUACCAGGUGGCUGCAACUGUUUAUUAAAAACACAGCACUGUGCAAAAUCGCAAGAUGACGUAUACGGUGUGACGCCUGCCCGGUGCCGGAAGGUUAAUUGAUGGGGUUAGCGCAAGCGAAGCUCUUGAUCGAAGCCCCGGUAAACGGCGGCCGUAACUAUAACGGUCCUAAGGUAGCGAAAUUCCUUGUCGGGUAAGUUCCGACCUGCACGAAUGGCGUAAUGAUGGCCACGCUGUCUCCACCCGAGACUCAGUGAAAUUGAAAUCGCUGUGAAGAUGCAGUGUACCCGCGGCUAGACGGAAAGACCCCGUGAACCUUUACUACAGCUUGGCACUGAACAUUGAACCUACAUGUGUAGGAUAGGUGGGAGGCUAUGAAGACGUGACGCCAGUUGCGUUGGAGCCGUCCUUGAAAUACCACCCUUGUAUGUUUGAUGUUCUAACUUAGACCCAUUAUCUGGGUUGAGGACAGUGCCUGGUGGGUAGUUUGACUGGGGCGGUCUCCUCCCAAAGAGUAACGGAGGAGCACGAAGGUGGGCUAAUCACGGUUGGACAUCGUGAGGUUAGUGCAAUGGCAUAAGCCCGCUUAACUGCGAGAAUGACGGUUCGAGCAGGUGCGAAAGCAGGUCAUAGUGAUCCGGUGGUUCUGUAUGGAAGGGCCAUCGCUCAACGGAUAAAAGGUACUCCGGGGAUAACAGGCUGAUACCGCCCAAGAGUUCAUAUCGACGGCGGUGUUUGGCACCUCGAUGUCGGCUCAUCACAUCCUGGGGCUGAAGUCGGUCCCAAGGGUAUGGCUGUUCGCCAUUUAAAGUGGUACGCGAGCUGGGUUUAGAACGUCGUGAGACAGUUCGGUCCCUAUCUGCCGUGGGCGUUGGAAGAUUGAAGGGGGCUGCUCCUAGUACGAGAGGACCGGAGUGGACGAACCUCUGGUGUUCGGGUUGUGUCGCCAGACGCAUUGCCCGGUAGCUAAGUUCGGAAUUGAUAAGCGCUGAAAGCAUCUAAGCGCGAAGCGAGCCCUGAGAUGAGUCUUCCCUGACAGUUUAACUGUCCUAAAGGGUUGUUCGAGACUAGAACGUUGAUAGGCAGGGUGUGUAAGCGUUGUGAGGCGUUGAGCUAACCUGUACUAAUUGCCCGUGAGGCUUAACCAUACAACACCCAAGGGGUUUUGUA